UUGGGAAUCUUGGACAAUGGGGGAAACCCUGAUCCAGCCAUGCCGCGUGAGUGAUGAAGGCCUUCGGGUUGUAAAACUCUUUCGACGGGGACGAUAAUGACGGUACCCGUAGAAGAAGCUCCGGCUAACUUCGUGCCAGCAGCCGCGGUAAUACGAAGGGGGCUAGCGUUGUUCGGAAUUACUGGGCGUAAAGCGCGCGCAGGCGGUCUUCCAAGUCAGUGGUGAAAGCCCGGAGCUCAACUCCGGAACUGCCAUUGAAACUGUAAGACUUGAGGAUGAGAGAGGUGAGUGGAAUUCCCAGUGUAGAGGUGAAAUUCGUAGAUAUUGGGAAGAACACCGGUGGCGAAGGCGGCUCGCUGGCUCAUUUCUGACGCUCAGGCGCGACGGCGUGGGGAUCAAACAGGAUUAGAUACCCUGGUAGUCCACGCCGUAAACGAUGAAUGCUAGCCGUUGGGCAGCUUGCUGUUCAGUGGCGCAGCUAACGCAUUAAGC
RNAcentral lists this ribosomal RNA (492 nucleotides) under uncultured bacterium. RNAcentral describes it as "bacterial SSU rRNA". It matches the Rfam family "Bacterial small subunit ribosomal RNA", at positions 355 to 865 of the family's 1533-position model. The record is from RNAcentral.